AUUUAUAUAAUUUAAUAAAAUAUUAUAUUUUCAUUAUAAAAAUAAGAUAAAACUUCUUUAUAAAUA
This 66-nucleotide transfer RNA is filed under the name Heptamelus sp. RNAcentral's name for it is "tRNA-Glu". Lineage: Eukaryota; Metazoa; Arthropoda; Insecta; Hymenoptera; Tenthredinidae. The record is from RNAcentral.